GUACUAGUGAAACUAACUCCACCCAUGAGAAGAGAUAUUGAGGUUUUCACCGAACGAGAGAAAAUAUUAUAUCUCGGGUUCUUAUGUGUUUAAUAAAAGGAUAAUUUAUUGCAAAAGGUGAUAUUAUAUAUCCUAGAAAUAGGAAGAACAUAAUAUAUGCCUUGAGCUCAUAGUGUAAUUAUAAGGAGAAUGAAAAUCAAUAUCAUAGGAGAUAUUACUUAUCCUAUAAAUAGGAAGAACAUAAUAUAUGCCUUGAGCUCAUAGUGUAAUUAUAAGAAGAAUGAAAUCAAUAUCAUAUUUAUUUUAAUUCAUG
RNAcentral lists this long non-coding RNA (313 nucleotides) under Nicotiana benthamiana. RNAcentral describes it as "long non-coding RNA (NBEN_LNC032384)". The record is from RNAcentral. Lineage: Eukaryota; Viridiplantae; Streptophyta; Magnoliopsida; Solanales; Solanaceae.